GGGGGUGCGCUGGGGCGGCUCGUCGACUCCAAAUUGACAGGGCGCGGGUUCGAUUCCCGUCACCUCCACCU
Molecule: transfer RNA, 71 nt
Filed under: Chloroflexi bacterium B3_Chlor
Lineage: Bacteria; Bacillati; Chloroflexota
Description: tRNA-Trp
Rfam family: tRNA
About the family: Transfer RNA (tRNA) molecules are approximately 80 nucleotides in length. Their secondary structure includes four short double-helical elements and three loops (D, anti-codon, and T loops).
Source: RNAcentral